AUAUCAGUCAUGCAUAGCAUAUCAAUAAGCGGAGGAAAAGAAACUAACAAGGAUUCCCUUAGUAACGGCGAGUGAAGCGGGAAGAGCUCAAAUUUGAAAUCUUCAAGGUUUUACCUUGACGAAUUGUAGUUUAAAGAAGUGUUUUCUGUUGAAGUUUUGGUAAAAGUUCUUUGGAAUAGGACAUCAUAGAGGGUGAGAAUCCCGUAUUUGACCAUUACUUUCAGCUUUGUGAUACACUUUCAAAGAGUCGGAUUGUUUGGGAAUGCAGUCCAAAAUGGGUGGUAAAUUUCAUCUAAAGCUAAAUAUUGGCGAGAGACCGAUAGUGAACAAGUACCGUGAGGGAAAGAUGAAAAGAACUUUGAAAAGAGAGUUAAACAGUACGUGAAAUUGUCAAAAGGGAAGCGUUUGACACCAGUGUUGUUUUCUCGAAAAUCAAUUAAAAAGAGUUGGAUUUUGUGUUGUAUUGACUUUAUCAGCUUUCUUCACUCUUUUCCAGCUUUUUUUAAUGCACUUUUCGUUUAACAAGUCAACAUCAGUUUCUUUUGUUGUAAAAAGGUCAUUGGAAGGUGGCUUUCUCUUCGGAGAAAGUGUUUAUAGCCUUUGACUCAUGCAAUCGGAGAGACUGAGGUCUGCAGCGUAGAUCCUUCGGGGUUAGAUACAUUUGUGCUAAGUUAUAGCUUUUCAUAGACAACUUGUUGACUAUGUUUAGUCUUGUAGCUUACUCGCUUAUGCUAUUUUACCUACGCUUAGGAUGUUGAACUCUAUCACACACA
RNAcentral lists this ribosomal RNA (773 nucleotides) under uncultured Neocallimastigales. Its description in RNAcentral is "partial large subunit ribosomal RNA". It matches the Rfam family "Eukaryotic large subunit ribosomal RNA", at positions 22 to 615 of the family's 3401-position model. The record is from RNAcentral. Lineage: Eukaryota; Fungi; Neocallimastigomycota; Neocallimastigomycetes; Neocallimastigales.